GCGUGAGUGAUGAAGGCCUUAGGGUCGUAAAGCUCUUUCGCCUGUGAAGAUAAUGACUGUAGCAGGUAAAGAAACCCCGGCUAACUCCGUGCCAGCAGCCGCGGUAAUACGGAGGGGGUUAGCGUUGUUCGGAAUUACUGGGCGUAAAGCGCACGUAGGCGGAUUAGUUAGUCAGAGGUGAAAUCCCGGGGCUCAACCCCGGAACUGCCUUUGAUACUGCUAGUCUAGAGUUCGAGAGAGGUGAGUGGAAUUCCGAGUGUAGAGGUGAAAUUCGU
This 275-nucleotide ribosomal RNA is filed under the name uncultured bacterium. RNAcentral's name for it is "partial 16S ribosomal RNA". It matches the Rfam family "Bacterial small subunit ribosomal RNA", at positions 399 to 691 of the family's 1533-position model. The record is from RNAcentral.